UUACUUAAUUAAAACAUGUUUUUACAAUUUUUGCUUUGAAAAAAAAACAAACAUUCUGACUUUUGUUUUAAGAAAAAUCCUAAAUGCCUUAUGGCUCCCCAUCUCCCACGCUCUCCCUUCGCUCUUCAGCCGAAAGGCCAGUACCCAGGCCUUCCAUUAGCAGCCAGCGAAGGCCCGCCGACGGUGCGUGCUCGGUGUGACUCCGGUGAACUUCCUCUCUUUCUCUCCUACCUUUAAUUUGUGUUGUGGAUCUGAAUGGGAAAAGAAAAAAAAAAGGUACGUGGAGACGUGAAGAGGGCGUUCAUGGGCGUGGACGCGCGAACCAGGGGGUCGUGCUCGGUGUGCCGACGCACGUGGUGGAGGGAAGCAGCAACUGUUUCCUUUUUUGCUGAAAAGUUAGUCUAGUAUUGCGCUGUUUGGGCUCUAGGGUUAGGUUCAUUUUUGAGCUUAUAAUUGGAUUUGAUGUUUUUGUAAUUUUUGGACUUUUUUGUAAUUUUUGUUUUUGUAAUAUUUGGACUUUUUUGGAUUUUUACGUGAGUUUUAUUUAUUGGUUUUUUGUAUGUGUAUGGGCCCGGGCUAAAAAUUAGGUCUAUAAUAAUGAUAUUAGUUAGUUCAAAUAA
Molecule: long non-coding RNA, 620 nt
Organism: Gossypium arboreum
Lineage: Eukaryota; Viridiplantae; Streptophyta; Magnoliopsida; Malvales; Malvaceae
Exons: 2
Source: RefSeq, a predicted model, not a curated record